GAUGAACGCUGGCGGCGUGCCUAAUACAUGCAAGUCGAGCGAACAGACGAGGAGCUUGCUCCUCUGACGUUAGCGGCGGACGGGUGAGUAACACGUGGAUAACCUACCUAUAAGACUGGGAUAACUUCGGGAAACCGGAGCUAAUACCGUAUAAUAUAUUGAACCGCAUGGUUCAAUAGUGAAAGACGGUCUUGCGGUCACUUAUAGAUGGAUCCGCGCCGCAUUAGCUAGUUGGUAAGGUAACGGCUUACCAAGGCAACGAUGCGUAGCCGACCUGGGAGGGUGAUCGGCCACACUGGAACUGAGACACGGUCCAGAGUCCUACGGGAGGGAGCAGUAGGGAAUCUUCCGCAAUGGGCGAAAGCCUGACGGAGCAACGCCGCGUGAGUGAUGAAGGUCUUCGGAUCGUAAAACUCUGUUAUGAGGGAAGAACAAAUGUGUAAGUAACUAUGCACGUCUUGACGGUACCUAAUCAGAAAGCCACGGCUAACUACGUG
This 497-nucleotide ribosomal RNA is filed under the name uncultured bacterium. RNAcentral describes it as "partial 16S ribosomal RNA". It matches the Rfam family "Bacterial small subunit ribosomal RNA", at positions 28 to 507 of the family's 1533-position model. The record is from RNAcentral.